Molecule: ribosomal RNA, 677 nt
Filed under: Streptomyces atrovirens
Lineage: Bacteria; Bacillati; Actinomycetota; Actinomycetes; Kitasatosporales; Streptomycetaceae
Description: bacterial SSU rRNA
Rfam family: Bacterial small subunit ribosomal RNA
Source: RNAcentral
AAGCCCUGGAAAUAGGGGCUAAUACCGGAUACUGAGCCUCCUGGGCAUCCCUGCGGUUCGAAAGCUCCGGCGGUGCAGGAUGAGCCCCCGCCCUAUCAGCUUGUUGGUGAGGUAACGGCUCACCAAGGCGACGACGGGUAGCCGGCCUGAGAGGGCGACCGGCCCCACUGGGACUGAGACACGGCCCACACUCCUACGGGAGGCAGCAGUGGGGAAUAUUGCACAAUGGGCGCAAGCCUGAUGCAGCGACGCCGCGUGAGGGAUGACGGCCUUCGGGUUGUAAACCUCUUUCACCAGGGAAGAAGCGCAAGUGACGGUACCUGUAGAAGAAGCGCCGGCUAACUACGUGCCAGCACCCGCGGUAAUACGUAGGGCGCGAGCGUUGUCCGGAAUUAUUGGGCGUAAAGAGCUCGUAGGCGGCUUGUCGCGUCGGUUGUGAAAGCCCGGGGCUUAACCCCGGGUCUGCAGUCGAUACGGGCAGGCUAGAGUUCGGUAGGGGAGAUCGGAAUUCCUGGUGUAGCGGUGAAAUGCGCAGAUAUCAGGAGGAACACCGGUGGCGAAAGCGGAUCUCUGGGCCGAUACUGACGCUGAGGAGCGAAAGCGUGGGGAGCGAACAGGAUUAGAUACCCUGUUAGUCCACGCCGUAAACGGUGGGCACUAGGUGUGGGCGACAUUCC